GUGUUCGCUUUGGCAGCAUAUAUACUGUACUAAAAUUGGAAUGAUACAGAGAAGAUUAGCAUGGCCCUUGCACAAGAAUGACAAACAAAUUCAUAAAAAGCAUUCAUGGAUA
Molecule: small nuclear RNA, 112 nt
Organism: Myotis lucifugus (little brown bat)
Lineage: Eukaryota; Metazoa; Chordata; Mammalia; Chiroptera; Vespertilionidae
Source: Ensembl